RNAcentral lists this non-coding RNA (30 nucleotides) under Macaca fascicularis (crab-eating macaque). RNAcentral also lists the same sequence under 1 other name. Lineage: Eukaryota; Metazoa; Chordata; Mammalia; Primates; Cercopithecidae. The record is from RNAcentral.
UGCCAUUAAUUACCUGAGAAGCGUGCUUUC